This 203-nucleotide unclassified non-coding RNA is filed under the name uncultured Sebacina. RNAcentral's name for it is "sequence contains ITS2". Lineage: Eukaryota; Fungi; Basidiomycota; Agaricomycetes; Sebacinales; Sebacinaceae. The record is from RNAcentral.
UACUCUCACACUCCCGAUCUUUGUAUUGGGAGCGGUGGACUUGGGUUUGCUGCUUCACCGCAGCUUACCUCAAAUACGUUAGUGCAACUCUUGGUUGGACAUAAUACGGCGUGAUAAGUGUUCUUUUCGCCGGUGCCUCGCAAAGAGGGUGGCCGAUCGGGUGGUUGUGCUCCAAACCGUCCGUCUUUGGACAAUGUCUGACA